CGCUCCGGUGGCCUAGUGGUUAGAGUGUCCGUCUCGGAUGCGGGAGGUCGCGGGUUAAGACCCUGGCCGAGUAA
Potamilus streckersoni is the source of this 74-nucleotide non-coding RNA. The record is from the annotation of a GenBank genome assembly. Lineage: Eukaryota; Metazoa; Mollusca; Bivalvia; Unionida; Unionidae.